GGGGCGGAAGGGAACGGCCGGCAUUGGGCUGGAUUCCGCCUGAGCGCCGCAGCUCCCUCCGUUCAGCGCUUUGUAGAGCGGAGGGAGAGCUCUGCGCCGCGGGGUGAGAGCUCGGGCCCUUCUCCUGCUGCGAACCGCCUGCGGAAGUUAUGGAACUUGUUUGAUUUUUUACCCACCCCACCCUGACCAUUCUGCUUGAUUUAAGUGAGGAUGUGAAAACAACUCCUUUAUGUUCUGGGGGUGCACUUCUGUGGAGUCGGUACACACGUAUAAAUGCACCAGUAAGCAGAGUGACAGACAGCAUCAUUUCUGCCCAAAACCCAGCACGCAGUGAGGGUUGAAGGCUCUGUAUCCCACCCACGUAACCCACAGCAAGCAGAGAACCAAGCUUCAUCAUCCUCCCCUUGCAUGUCCCCAGCCCUGGCCCGCGGGAAACCUUCUCCUGCUGCUCUGAGCUACAGGAAAUUAAAAAGUUAAAGUUGAAGGCCAUUAGGGAGAGUAAAGUAUGAUGUUGCCCACACCACGUAACGCUGAGCGAGUUAUUGUCCGAGGUCAGGAGAGGUUGGGGAUCACUGCUCGGCACACAGUCAUUAGUUUCCCUUUACAGGCUGAGUCCAAGCUCAUGUUAUCUUUAACAAUUUAAAUAACUACUUGGAUGACCCUUAAGUUUUGACUGUGAGCUGGAUAUUUGUCUGCGUGCUCCGAUAGUUAUUAGUACGGCGCUGGCAUUUGUUCCUCUUCCACACUGUAUCUGCUUUUUGUUGAUGUUGGAAGACCGUCUGGUUGGAAAUGACAACUUCAGAAUAUUUACUGGGGUCUUAUUUAGAAAAAGUAUGUAAAUGAGUCAUCUAGGGCCGGGCUUUCUUGAAGAUUAAUGCUGUGAUUAUCUCUGUUUGUUUGGUGAGAUAACCAAUGGCCAAAUUACAGCUGCACAUCAGCAUUUGGGUAUAAAUUGCCUUUGACCCUCACCUGGAAGUUGCUUGCUCUCUGCUACCGCUGCCAGAGUCCCACAUCCUUUGUUGGGUGUCUUUCCCAACCAAUUUGCAAGGAGUUGUUAAACAAAUUCCCAGGCUGGACUGCUGUGUUUGUGCACAGCGUGGCAAUGUCUCAGGAAAAUGGCUGGAAGAGCAAGGAAGGAUCACAAGGAAAGCGUUCUGCAGGAGUCUGAGAGAAAGCCACUGGGUUCUUGUUGGGAAACAGUAAGACACAUGUAAAUCAGAUUAUUUCUCAAGUGAGUUUUACCCCAUAUAAAUUCUGUUUUAAUAGAGUAUUCUUCGUUGCUUGAAGUCUAGACUGAGCAUGAUGCACUCGUCAAAUCAAAACAAGAAAUGCAUUUUAGGAAGGAAUAGGAAAUGGACUGGCAGUGUGCAAGAAGGUGCAUUACCUAUCGUUAAUGGAGAGAAAGUAUGGGAAGCUGGGAGCACCAACACUAGAGAACAAACAGAGUGCAAAUAAACACUGUUUUGAGACCAGCAA
Molecule: long non-coding RNA, 1476 nt
Organism: Gallus gallus (chicken)
Lineage: Eukaryota; Metazoa; Chordata; Aves; Galliformes; Phasianidae
Exons: 2
Source: RefSeq, a predicted model, not a curated record